UCCCUAGUAGCUCAGUUGGUUAGAGCGGCGGACUGUUAAUCCGUAGGUCACUGGGUCGAGUCCAGUCUGGGGAGCCA
Molecule: transfer RNA, 77 nt
Filed under: Rheinheimera lutimaris
Lineage: Bacteria; Pseudomonadati; Pseudomonadota; Gammaproteobacteria; Chromatiales; Chromatiaceae
Description: Rheinheimera sp. YQF-2 tRNA-Asn
Rfam family: tRNA
About the family: Transfer RNA (tRNA) molecules are approximately 80 nucleotides in length. Their secondary structure includes four short double-helical elements and three loops (D, anti-codon, and T loops). Further hydrogen bonds mediate the characteristic L-shaped molecular structure. tRNAs have two regions of fundamental functional importance: the anti-codon, which is responsible for specific mRNA codon recognition, and the 3' end, to which the tRNAs corresponding amino acid is attached (by aminoacyl-tRNA synthetases). tRNAs cope with the degeneracy of the genetic code in two manners: having more than one tRNA (with a specific anti-codon) for a particular amino acid; and 'wobble' base-pairing, i.e. permitting non-standard base-pairing at the 3rd anti-codon position.
Source: RNAcentral